UGCCGUAUUCUCAGAAUCUCCCAAUUUAUCAGGGUUUCUGUCUUGGCAUUGAGAAAUGCCACGCUGGUAAGCUAGUCUCGAUUAUCCCUCAGACAUUCUAAUGUGUGGACUUGCAUAUUUAACUAUGUAAUGUAUCUGGACUUUGCUUCUAAGAAAUUUAUUUAUUUAAGAAACAGAGACACAUGCCGAGAUCAGAGAGAGAGAGAGGUCCUCUUGGCUGGUUCUCUCCCCAGAUUCCCACCGUGCUGGGGCGGGCCUGGGGCCUAGGCCAGGAGUGAGGAUCGCAGUCCACGUUCCCAAGGCUGCACGGGCAGGAAACUGGGGAGAGGCGUAGCUGCAGGCUGCACCCGAGCCCACCCCCGUGACAGGUGUCUGCUCUGCGAGGUCCAGUGGCUGCCCCUGGAGUUGACGUCUGUGUCGGAGGCGAGGCAGGGCUUCCGCUUUCGUUACUGGGUGAUGGAAUUCCUACCGCUCUGCUGCUUGCUGAAGUCCUUCGGUUCUGUUGGUUGGUUGGAAGGAUUUUCCAGGUUUUAGGUCUCGUUCUGCCAUCUGGAAGAUGAAUCCCGCAGCAGGAGAAUCGGGAGUGUGUUGUUCACCUUUCAGCGUCCCCGCAGACACGGUGUCAGCUGCUGGAGUAUCGACUGUCCCCCAUCCCGCCUCCGUCCCAGGCUCCCCGUGUGCCCUGCCGCCCGGUCUGAGCGCCUGUGCCUUGCUCAGCCGGGGCGUUGUUCUACGGUCCUCCCCUCGCUCUCUGCCCUCCUUAGGAGCCUCACUGAACGGUUGUCCAUACUUCUCGUCUCUUCUUCGCGGUUUCCGCCUCUGCUCCUGUGUGAUCUCUCAGCUCCGCCUCCUUCACGAACCCGCUCCUUUGCCGGGUCCAACGUGCUUGGCCAGCGGCUCAGGAACGCUCACGGGCACGGGCUUGACAUUCCAUACAAAUUACAUGUUUAUGGCAGAAAAUGUGGACGACUCAGAACACGAUCUCUAAGAAAAUAAAAGUCACGUGUGGCUCCA
RNAcentral lists this long non-coding RNA (1014 nucleotides) under Oryctolagus cuniculus (rabbit). RNAcentral describes it as "lncRNA (ENSOCUG00000031047.1)". Lineage: Eukaryota; Metazoa; Chordata; Mammalia; Lagomorpha; Leporidae. The record is from RNAcentral.